AUGCACGCUGGCGGCGUGCCUAAUACAUGCAAGUCGCUCUAACGGACGAGAAGCUUGCUUUUCUGAUGUUAGCGGCGGCCGGGUGAGUAACACGUGGAUAACCUACCUAUAAGACUGGGAUAACUUCGGGAAACCGGAGCUAAUACCGGAUAAUAUUUUGAACCGCAUGGUUCAAAAGUGAAAGACGGUCUUGCUGUCACUUAUAGCUGGAUCCGCGCUGCAUUAGCUAGUUGGUAAGGUAACGGCUUACCAAGGCAACGAUGCAUAGCCGACCUGAGAGGGUGAUCGGCCACACUGGAACUGAGACACGGUCCAGACUCCUACGGGAGGCAGCAGUAGGGAAUCUUCCGCAAUGGGCGAAAGCCUGACGGAGCAACGCCGCGUGAGUGAUGAAGGUCUUCGGAUCGUAAAACUCUGUUAUUAGGGAAGAACAUAUGUGUAAGUAACUGUGCACAUCUUGACGGUACCUAAUCAGAAGGCCACGGCUAAGUACGUG
This 496-nucleotide ribosomal RNA is filed under the name uncultured bacterium. Its description in RNAcentral is "partial 16S ribosomal RNA". It matches the Rfam family "Bacterial small subunit ribosomal RNA", at positions 29 to 507 of the family's 1533-position model. The record is from RNAcentral.